RNAcentral lists this non-coding RNA (36 nucleotides) under Equus asinus (donkey). RNAcentral describes it as "XIST RNA A repeat". It matches the Rfam family "XIST RNA A repeat". Lineage: Eukaryota; Metazoa; Chordata; Mammalia; Perissodactyla; Equidae. RNAcentral also lists the same sequence under 1 other name. The record is from Rfam by way of RNAcentral.
CAGCCCAUCGGGGCCUCGGAUACCUGCUUUUUUCCU